RNAcentral lists this ribosomal RNA (350 nucleotides) under uncultured bacterium. RNAcentral's name for it is "partial 16S ribosomal RNA". It matches the Rfam family "Bacterial small subunit ribosomal RNA", at positions 338 to 685 of the family's 1533-position model. The record is from RNAcentral.
CCUACGGGUGGCAGCAGUGAGGAAUAUUGGUCAAUGGACGAGAGUCUGAACCAGCCAAGUAGCGUGAAGGAUGACUGCCCUAUGGGUUGUAAACUUCUUUUAUAUGGGAAUAAAACAGGGUAUGCAUACCCUCUUGUAUGUACCAUAUGAAUAAGGAUCGGCUAACUCCGUGCCAGCAGCCGCGGUAAUACGGAGGAUCCGAGCGUUAUCCGGAUUUAUUGGGUUUAAAGGGAGCGUAGGUGGAUUGUUAAGUCAGUUGUGAAAGUUUGCGGCAAAACCGUAAAAUUGCAUUUGAAACUGGAAGUCUGGAGGAUGGGAGGGGUGGGGGGAAUCCGUGGGGUAGGGGUAAA